CCUUGGGAGCAAAGAUUGGUGAAGCGUUACUAUGACAAGCUUUUCAAAGAGUACUGCAUAGCUGAUAUGACGAAGUACAGAAGUGGCAAGAUUGGUCUAAGAUGGAGGACAGAGAAAGAAGUCAUAUCUGGGA
Long non-coding RNA from Rhodamnia argentea, 133 nucleotides. RefSeq lists it as uncharacterized. The transcript is spliced from 3 exons. The record is from RefSeq and is a predicted model, not a curated record. Lineage: Eukaryota; Viridiplantae; Streptophyta; Magnoliopsida; Myrtales; Myrtaceae.